CCUACGGGGGGCAGCAGUGGGGAAUAUUGCACAAUGGGGGAAACCCUGAUGCAGCGACGCCGCGUGAGCGAAGAAGUAUUUCGGUAUGUAAAGCUCUAUCAGCAGGGAAGAAAAUGACGGUACCUGACUAAGAAGCCCCGGCUAACUACGUGCCAGCAGCCGCGGUAAUACGUAGGGGGCAAGCGUUAUCCGGAUUUACUGGGUGUAAAGGGAGCGCAGGCGGCGCGGUAAGUCUGAUGUGAAAGCCCGGGGCUCAACCCCGGGAGUGCAUUGGAAACUGUCGGACUGGAGUGAAGGAGGGGCAAGUGGAAUUCCUGGUGUAGCGGUGAAAUGCGUAGAUAUUAGGAGGAACACCAGUGGCGAAGGCGGCUUGCUGGACGGCAACUGACGCUGAGGCUCGAAAGCGUGGGGAGCAAACAGGAUUAGAUACCCCGGUAGUC
RNAcentral lists this ribosomal RNA (440 nucleotides) under uncultured bacterium. RNAcentral describes it as "partial 16S ribosomal RNA". It matches the Rfam family "Bacterial small subunit ribosomal RNA", at positions 338 to 795 of the family's 1533-position model. The record is from RNAcentral.